Molecule: long non-coding RNA, 2433 nt
Organism: Peromyscus eremicus (cactus mouse)
Lineage: Eukaryota; Metazoa; Chordata; Mammalia; Rodentia; Cricetidae
Exons: 2
Source: RefSeq, a predicted model, not a curated record
GGAGGAGGGAAGGGGUCGGCGCUGACCCGUGCGCGCGCGGCCCGCGGGCUGGAGCUGGCCUGCAGGGAGAGGGUCCUGCGGUCCAGCACGCCGGCGCCAGGGAGCGGCGCGAGGACGCCAGCGAGCCCAGGAUGAGAAAAAUCUCUGAAUGUGCAUCUCCCCAUCUGUGACUCUUCCAGACCCACAAGCGUUGGGUAGAGUCCUGGAUUUCAAGUCAGCCCUUCCAAGGGAAGUUAUCAACUGGAUGACUUCAAACUAAUACAGAUCCAGACUUUUCUCAUGUGAAACCUUUUUAAAUGUGUCCAUACUUCAGAGAGAUAAGGUAAGGAACAGGAGAGGAAACAAAAGUGAAACCCUAGUGUUAGGUGUGGUGGUUUAUAUCCGUAAUCUCAGCACUCUGGAAGCUGAGGCAGGAGGAUCACCAGUUCAAAGCCAGCAGAGCAAGAGCUCUUUAAAAAUAAAAAUGACCUGUGUGGUGGAGAGCACACUUUUAAUCCCAGGAGGGUUAGAAAGACAGGGUAGGUGGAUCUUUGAGUUUGAGGCCAAUCUGGGAGGGAGUCCCAGGAUAGCCUGGUACUUGAGACCUUGUCUCAAAAAGGUGGGGGAGGUGGGGAUCAGGCAUAUAGCAGCUCAGUGUAAGAGUGCUUGCCUAAAGCCAGGCAGCGGUGGCACACGCCUUUAAUCCCAGCACUUGGGAGGCAGAGCUAGGCAGAUCUCUGUGAGUUGGGGCCAGCCUGGGCUACAGAUCAAGAUCUAGGACAGGUACCAAAACUACAAAGAGAAACCUUUGUCUCAAAAAACAAAAUAACAAAAAAAAAAAAAAAAAAAAAAAAGAGUGCUUGCCUAGUGUGCAAAGGGCUCUGAGUUUGAUCCUCAGUGCUGGAAAAAAGAAAUAAUGAAAACUAAAGCUGAUAGACACAUUUAAAACGAUUACCAACACGCUUCUCACUAAUAGUAAUGUCCUUGGACCAAAUUCAAUAGAAAAAAAAAAUUCCUGAUUACUUAGUAUAAGCAAAACAUAGUUCAGUGCCUAGACAAACCACACAGACUGCUGCUCAGAAAGCUCACUGUGGAGCAAGGAAGGUAGUUUUAUUAACCUAUAGUCAACAGAUCAUAUGAACAAAGGGUUGGGCAAAUACAGAGGAGAAUGUGAUAAAUUCCAGAUGAGUGAGGCUUCAAUGGAAGAGGUAGACCUUCAGGGAUUACCUGUUUUGUGCCGAAUACAUGUUUGUGAUUCAGAAGACAGCAUUUAGUCUAGAGUGUGAAGAUAUUGAGUCUAAACCAAAGCUGCAGCCAGAUGGGAGAGUCCCGUGCCUCUGCCCUGUGCCUCCAGAUAACACCCUUCCCUAUUUCUCAAGACCCAACCCAACUCUUUGUUGUUGUUGGAGACAGGAUCUCAAACAUGUAGCUGAAGAUAAUCUUGAACUCCUUCACCUCCUCCCAAAUCUUAGGAUUCCAGGCAUGCACCACUAUAACCCUUUACCCUCAUAACUUUACUUGCUGAAUCUGAACACACAAGCAUUCCACUGGAUGCUCUUUCUCCAAUCUCUGAAUCCCAAUUAUUUUACCUGUCUGAUACCAAUAGAUUAUAAUCUUAAAAAAAAUACUUGUAUUUGUAUUGCAGUACCUGCAUACUUAUUGAGUUGAACAUUUUGGCAUUCAUACUCCUGUUUAUCAUUACAAAAAAAUAAUUCCGGUAUUCUGACAAGACAAAUGAGCAAAUAUAGGACUUAAUUAAUGCCAAAGUUCAUAAAUAAAUCACAGACACAACUAGAAUGCCAGUUGUGUGUUCUUUGCUUUGAACUAUAUAUAGAUUACUGAAAAAAUUACAAAUCUCUAGCUGCUCUGUGAAAAUACUCAAGUGACCCUCUCUGUAAUACUUUCAAGAACAGUCCCAUGGAUAUAGUUAAGGUUUUAAAUUUAGACUUCCAAUCUAGAUGGUCCAGAAACUCCAUCCACUUCAUCCUACCAGAUGACAAUUACUUGCAGCAGAAGUCUUAUUCUGUCCUCCCAAAUGAGAAAUACAAUUGCCUAAUGGAUCAGUACUUAUAUUUGUUCUCUUCUUAGAUAAUAGAACUAUAUUAUUCAGCUGUUGUUACUAAAAUGACAUACCAGGAGUAGCUUAGUUAUGAAGAAAAGUUUAGGGCUUGAAGUGUAGUUCAGUAUCAGACUGCUUGCCUAGUUUGCUCCCUAUAUGUGCUCCCUAUAUAUGAUUGUGAGGGACAAAUCAGCAGUCAAGAGUACAUAUUGUUCUUCCAGACGACCUGAGUUUGGUUCCCAGUAUUCCCAUGGUGGUUCACAAUCAUCCAUAACUCUAGUUCCAAAGAUCCAAUGCCCUCUCCUGAUCUGAGGCAGCAAACACACAUCUGCUACUCAUAAAUACAUGCAGGCAAAACACUCAGACAUAAAAUAAGAUGAAUAAAUAUUUUAAAA